This 533-nucleotide long non-coding RNA is filed under the name Actinidia chinensis (golden kiwifruit). RNAcentral's name for it is "long non-coding RNA (ACHI_LNC001628)". Lineage: Eukaryota; Viridiplantae; Streptophyta; Magnoliopsida; Ericales; Actinidiaceae. The record is from RNAcentral.
AUAAAACACUAGGCUUGGUGGGUACAUAUCAUUUCAAAUACAAAGUCUUAUCCGACUAUUUUCAUACGUACACCUAGGAUCCGUCUACAACAACUGAUUCGAGAACAUAACCAUAAGUUUCGACGCCCGAGAUGUUGCAGCACCUACCAAUGAGAGGCCUUAUAGAUUAGUAUUACACAUAAAAAAAAAAUCAAUUAUACCUCAAAUCUUACACGCAUUCGCAGUUGGUAGCAGUUUUUAGGUCAACCCUUCGAAACAAGCAUAUUUGUGUGCUCUGAUGGAUUGAGGUGACAAGUUCUGGUUGGGACGUCGACAAGCUAUCAUAUGCAUCGCAAUGUUAUGACGUUUUCGUUUUCAUAACAGCUGAUGAAACGACGAUCACUGGCUAGUUGGAUCGGACUCACUGCGGUCCGGUGGUACCUCGAGAAUCAAAUGAUUAAUCAACAUGAGAAUCAAAUGAUUAAUCAUCAAUGUCACUGCUACUUACGCAACAUGAGAAUCAAAUGAUUAAUCAUCCGUCGCUGAAAGGGCGA